This 774-nucleotide ribosomal RNA is filed under the name uncultured Neocallimastigales. Its description in RNAcentral is "partial large subunit ribosomal RNA". It matches the Rfam family "Eukaryotic large subunit ribosomal RNA", at positions 24 to 616 of the family's 3401-position model. The record is from RNAcentral. Lineage: Eukaryota; Fungi; Neocallimastigomycota; Neocallimastigomycetes; Neocallimastigales.
GUACGACUACAUAUCAGGCAUAUCAAUAAGCGGAGGAAAAGAAACUAACAAGGAUUCCCUUAGUAACGGCGAGUGAAGCGGGUAGAGCUCAAAUUUGAAAUCUUCAAGGGUUUACCUUUACGAAUUGUAGUUUAAAGAAGUGUUUUCUGUUGGAGUUUCGGUAAAAGUUCUUUGGAAUAGGACAUCAUAGAGGGUGAGAAUCCCGUAUUUGACCAUUAUUUCAGCUGUGUGAUACACUUUCAAAGAGUCGGAUUGUUUGGGAAUGCAGUCCAAAAUGGGUGGUAAAUUUCAUCUAAAGCUAAAUAUUGGCGAGAGACCGAUAGCGAACAAGUACCGUGAGGGAAAGAUGAAAAGAACUUUGAAAAGAGAGUUAAACAGUACGUGAAAUUGUCAAAAGGGAAGCGUUUGACACCAGUGUUGUUUUCUCGAAAAUCAAUUAAAAAAAGUUGGAUUUUGUGUUGUAUUGACCUUAACAGCUUGCUUCACUCUUUUCCAGCUUUUUUUAAUGCACUUUUCGUUUAACAAGUCAACAUCAGUUUCUUUUGUUGUAAAAGGGUCAUUGGAAGGUGGCUUUCUCUUCGGAGAAAGUAUUUAUAGCCUUUGAUCUCUGCAAUCGGAGAGACUGAGGUCUGCAGCGUAGAUCCUUCGGGGUUAGAUACAUUUGUGCUAAGCUACAGCUUUUCAUAGACAACUUGUUGACUAUGUUUAGUCUUGUGACUUACCCGCUUAUGCUAUUUUACCUACGCUUAGGAUGUUGAGCGCAUGUCUCUCUCU